CACUUCUCAAUGAGCUCCUUCCUGCCAACACCCCCAUGGCAGCCUAUGGAUUCGCACGAGAAGGACAUUAACAGUUCAGUGCUGGCGCGCUCGUAACGUGGCUCCAUCGGUUGCGAUUAGCCACUGCUGUUCUACAAGU
Small nucleolar RNA from Anser brachyrhynchus (Pink-footed goose), 139 nucleotides. Its record names the gene SNORA75. It matches the Rfam family "Small nucleolar RNA SNORA75". Rfam says of the family: U23 belongs to the H/ACA class of snoRNAs. snoRNAs bind a number of proteins (including dyskerin, Gar1p and Nop10p in the case of the H/ACA class) to form snoRNP complexes. This class are thought to guide the sites of modification of uridines to pseudouridines by forming direct base pairing interactions with substrate RNAs. The record is from Ensembl. NCBI's taxonomy places the organism in Eukaryota, Metazoa, Chordata, Aves, Anseriformes, Anatidae.